RNAcentral lists this ribosomal RNA (405 nucleotides) under uncultured bacterium. Its description in RNAcentral is "bacterial SSU rRNA". It matches the Rfam family "Bacterial small subunit ribosomal RNA", at positions 355 to 776 of the family's 1533-position model. The record is from RNAcentral.
UGAGGAAUAUUCGUCAAUGGGGGAAACCCUGAACGAGCAACGCCGCGUGGAGGAUGAAGGCCCUUGGGUUGUAAACUCCUUUUCGGAGGGAAGAGGAAGGACGGUACCUUCGGAAUAAGUCACGGCUAACUACGUGCCAGCAGCCGCGGUAAUACGUAGGUGGCAAGCGUUAUCCGGAAUUACUGGGCGUAAAGCGCACGCAGGCGGCUGUCCAAGUCUGACGUGAAAGCUCCUGGCUUAACUGGGAGAGGUCGUUGGAAACUAGAUGGCUUGAGGUGAGGAGAGGGGUGUAGAAUUCCCGGUGUAGUGGUGGAAUGCGUAGAUAUCGGGAGGAAUACCAGUGGCGAAAGCGGCACCCUGGCCUUGGCCUGACGCUCAGGUGCGAAAGCGUGGGUAGCGAACGGG